GGUCAUCUCACUCGGCGCAUGGACAUCCUGUCGGUUUGUCUUCUGUCGCAGGGCAACCUCGCUUCGGUCGACGAUCGGCAAGUUUACUUUGAACAAACCAAAGUGCUCAACACAAGCGCAUCGCUUGAAUGUUCUUGCAUGGAAUAAUAGAAGAGGAUUUCGGUUCUGUUUUGUUGGUUUUGUAACCGAGAUAAUGGUUAAUAGAGACGGGCGGGGGCAUCGGUAUUUCCGCGUGAGAGGUGAAAUUCUUGGACCGCGGGAGGACCAACAACAGCGAAGGCAGUUGCCAAGUACGUCUUCAUUAACCAAGAACGAAAGUCAAGGGAUCAAAGACGAUUAGAUACCGUCGUAGUCUUGACCGUAAACGAUGCUAACUAGCGAUCUGUCGGCUUACCACCACGGUACCGAUAGGGAGCUUACGGGAAACCAAAGUGUUUCAGCUCCGGGGGUAGUAUGGUCGCAAGGCUGAAACUUAAAGGAAUUGACGGAAGGGCACCACCAGGGGUGGAGCUUGCGGCUUAAUUUGACUCAACACGGGAAACCUCACCCGGGCCGGACACCGUCGGGAUUGACAGGUUGACAGAUCUUUCAUGAUUCGGUGGUUGGUGGUGCAUGGCCGUUCUUAGUUCGUGGAGUGAUCUGUCUGGUUAAUUCCGAUAACGAGCGAGACCCACGCCUGCUAAUAUAGUUCGAACAUUCAUGCAAUGCUCGUGACUUCUUAGAGGGAUCCUCGG
Molecule: ribosomal RNA, 734 nt
Filed under: uncultured eukaryote
Lineage: Eukaryota
Description: bacterial SSU rRNA
Rfam family: Eukaryotic small subunit ribosomal RNA
Source: RNAcentral